CAGCUGGAAUAAUCCUAAAGAAACAUCCUCCGGAGCGUCCCUUUUAACCUUCAACAAAAAGGGCUUUUCCUUGAUUUCCUCAAUACAUAACAAGAAAUAAGAUUCGGCCUGAAACUAGAGUUCGUCAGCCUUGCGGCAGCUUUGAUGUGCGUCAUUAUGCCUGACCACGCCGACGUCAGCCUCCCGCCGGAGGAGCGAGUACGAAGACUGAUCCAGGUGGGAAGCGCUGUGGAAGUGAAUGAGGACAUCCCACCACGACGCUACUACCGCUCCGGAGUGGAAAUUCUCCGCAUGGCAACCGUUUACUCGGAGGAAGGCAAUAUCGAGCAUGCCUUUAUUUUGUACAACAAAUACAUCACGCUCUUCAUUGAGAAGCUGCCGCAGCACCGUGAUUACAAAACUGCUAUCAUACCCGAAAAGAGGGAGACGGUGAAAAAACUGAAAGAAGUAGCCUUCCCCAGAGCUGAAGAGCUCAAGGAGGAGCUGUUAAAGAGGUACGCCAAGGACUAUGCUAAGUACAAGGAGCAGAAGAAGGAGGAGGAAGAGGAAUUUGCACGCAACUUGGCUUUGCAGCAGCAGCUGGAAGAGGAGAGGAAUCGGGUAGCCCUGAUGAAGCAGCAGCAGGCAGAGCAAGAGCAGUUUCAUGCCUUCGAGGAGAUGAUUCGACGACAGGAGCUGGAGAAGGAACGUCUAAGGAUAGUGCAGGAAUUUGGAAAGCCAGAGCCAAGUCCUGAGUCUCUGGAUGGACCCCUCAUCCCUGGCGUGGAAAAGCCCCCAACUGAUUUAAUCCCAAAGGUUCCCGUCUCUCCAGUUGACCCCGCAAGUCCAUCAGCAGGGACUGUCUCAUCCAAACCUCCCGUUGUGGACAGAUCUUUGAAACCUAGUGCUUUGGGGAGCACGGAAAACAAUGCAAGUAUGGAUGUCCUUCGCCAGGUCAUUGUCCCUAGGGAGCUCUGCCAGAAAUUCCUCCAGCUGGCUGAUGCCAACACAGUCCGGGGUGUGGAGACGUGUGGGAUCCUCUGCGGUAAGCUGAUGAGGAACGAGUUCACGAUAACCCACGUCAUUGUUCCCAAGCAGUACGGAGGCCCCGAUUAUUGCAACACGGAGAAUGAGGAGGAGCUCUUCGUGAUCCAGGAUCAGCACGGCCUUGUUACACUAGGCUGGAUCCAUAUGCAGUCCCUUUGGACUAGUUCUCCAACCCUGCUGGAACUUCCUCUCUUUUAUGCUGCCCUGUGUUUCAGACUCACCCCACGCAGACAGCCUUCCUCUCCAGCGUCGACCUGCACACGCACUGCUCCUACCAGAUGAUGUUGCCAGAGUCCAUUGCUAUUGUGUGUUCUCCGAAAUACCAGGAGACAGGGUUUUUCAAGCUGACGGAGCAUGGUCUGGAGGAGAUCUCUUCCUGCCGGCAGAAGGGAUUCCACCCGCACUCCAAAGACCCCCCUCUCUUCACUACCUGCAAUCAUGUGUCAGUAGUCGAGAGAGACGUGGUCCUGAUGGAUCUCCGAUAGGCCUCCUGCCUUAACCACUUACAGAAAACCAACUACCUUCCUUCUAGGCCUAGAGAAUUUUUGUUUUUCCUCCUGUAGCAGAUGAUUUCUACCGUGUAGUGACCCUUCCCCUUUCUCCCCCAAUAAUCACGGUGAAAUCGGUACCCUGACCUCAGUGGGAGCACGUGAAACCUCAGUGCCUGGCGUCAGGCUGGUGAAGUGGUGCUGAGGUUCAAGGUGUGGGGAAAGCUAACUGGAAAUUCAAAGACAGAAGCUAACACUGAAGCAAUUGUUUAACACUCUAAUCUAUGGCUUGAACAGCUGCUUGGGGUGGUUCCCUGUGAUUUGCUGCAACCAUGAGGUGCGGAAACCUCUUCAAGUGCUUUCCAAAGUGGGACUUGCCUGAAUUAACCCAUGCUUUGUUUUGCCUCUCUCUCUGGGAUGCUGUGGUCUCGGUGCAGCUGGCUGGAGUAGACAAGUCUUUGCUAUAGUUUAAGAUUAAACCUUCCUAAGCCCUCUCACUCCACGCAAGAGCUUAUUGCCGCUGAGUUGGAGUGAGUUCUGCUUGCUGGUACUCAGGUCUUUGCCUGGUGAGGUAAGAAGGGGCCCCACCUCCUUUGGGGACCCCCAUUUCCGCGUUUCAGGGGAGAAGGUGCCUGGAUGCGGCGCUGCUUUGCACAAGCUGCUUCAUUCCAGCAGAUGUGAGGGAUGUCUUGUUACUUUAUUCCUUUUCCUGGAUGGGAGAUUUGCUCCAGCACUUGGGCUGCCCAGCGAGGGCUUGGGUUCGACUUGCUGCUGGUGUUACCAUGGAGGAGGAUCUCGGUCUCUUGGCUGCAGUGCUGUCGUGUGAAGGCUCUGUAAGGCCAUCACCUCUCUGAGACAGGACUCCAGCAGGUUUUGCCGCUUCAGUCCUCAAAGAUCACAGCGCCCGAUUGCCUCUGCACUUCUCAAAACAGUAUGAAGUCUGUCCUUGCCAAAAACAAGCAGUCUGUGAUGUCGCCAUUAUGCGGUACACCAGCCAGGGACCUCUUCCGAAUUACUUUCCUCGGACGCCGAGCAGCGAUUUUCCUUCCCUGCGCUAUCCGUGCUGAGCCUUUGCCCUCGCUUCUGCCAGCGUUGAAAGCAAAGAAGCAGUAUUGAAAGGUGGAAGGCAUCUGGCCUCAAAGGGCUGAGCGUGAUCCACAACAUCUCCACAUCCUCUGGCAGGAUGCUCUAAUGAUCAGCACAUGGGCGUGCGGGGAGGGGAAGAAGGCUGGAGUUGCCUUCCCACCUGGCAUGCAUACAUACAUGUUCUAUAUGUCAAGUCCUUGUACUUCCACAUACAAAAUUCUUUGGUGUACAGUUUAACACAGAUGGAUUGUAUUAUCUUG
This is an RNA transcript of Harpia harpyja (harpy eagle), 2860 nucleotides long. It is a transcript of the gene named STAM binding protein, with no coding region annotated. The transcript is spliced from 10 exons. NCBI's taxonomy places the organism in Eukaryota, Metazoa, Chordata, Aves, Accipitriformes, Accipitridae. The record is from RefSeq and is a predicted model, not a curated record.